This is a long non-coding RNA of Sander lucioperca (pikeperch), 436 nucleotides long. RefSeq lists it as uncharacterized. The record is from RefSeq and is a predicted model, not a curated record. Lineage: Eukaryota; Metazoa; Chordata; Actinopteri; Perciformes; Percidae. The transcript has 3 exons.
UGAGUUGUGGAAGCAGCAUAGCCCAACUUCACAAGACUCAGUCGUCUGGCAAGAAAAUACCUGACCAUUCCAGCAACUAGCGCCCCAUCGGAGAGGGUCUUUAGUGUGGGUGGGGGUAUUGUCACCUGUCACCGAGCUUGCCUCAAGCCUGCUGUUGAUAGGCUCAUUUUCCUUGCAAAGAAUGUUUAAAAUGCAAUUACAUUUUUUAUGGCGAAUGGUGUUACUGUUUACAUGUCAAUUCAACUAAGAGUUACCUCAGGAUUUUUUGUUGUUUUAUUAGCUCAAUCCAAAUACAGUAUAAAUAAUUUGGAUGUUUCACAAUCUUUGUUGCACACUGCACAGUGACUUUUCAGUUAGAGAAAGGGUUUGCCUUUGCAAUUUUGUUUAUGUUGAUGCACUUUAAUUAAAUACAAUAAAUAUAUAUUUUUAAAAUAUA